GAUGAGUGAUCUACGUACCCUUGUAGAUCGUACAGCAGAAGCGUUAGUGAACGCGGUUGAUGUAGUGGAACGUCCUCACGUCCCUCGAUCCGCCCCGUGAACAAUCCCGCGAUCAGUCCCACGAUCUAGUACCGAACGGAUGGCACCUCCGCGUUCAGCACACGUACAACUCGACGAUGAUCUCGGCCUUCUUGAUCCAGCAAGAGAGACGGAGAGGUAGAAGAGUUAUCUGGCAGCGUGACG
Molecule: long non-coding RNA, 243 nt
Filed under: Hordeum vulgare
Lineage: Eukaryota; Viridiplantae; Streptophyta; Magnoliopsida; Poales; Poaceae
Description: long non-coding RNA (HVUL_LNC004944)
Source: RNAcentral